Molecule: ribosomal RNA, 241 nt
Filed under: uncultured bacterium
Lineage: Bacteria
Description: partial 16S ribosomal RNA
Rfam family: Bacterial small subunit ribosomal RNA
Source: RNAcentral
AAGCGUUGUUCGGAAUUACUGGGCGUAAAGGGUGCGUAGGCGGCUUUCUAAGUUGGAUGUGAAAACUCUGGGCUCAACCCAGAGCCUGCAUCCAAAACUGGAGAGCUUGGGUUCUGGAGGGGAAAGCGGAAUUCCUGGUGUAGCGGUGAAAUGCGUAGAUAUCAGGAGGAACACCGGUGGCGAAGGCGGCGACCUGGGUCGAGACUGACGCUGAGGCGCGAAAGCGUGGGGAGCAAACAGG